AACGAACGCUGGCGGCAGGCUUAACACAUGCAAGUCGAACGCACCUUUCGGGGUCAGUGGCAGACGGGUGAGUAACGGGUGGGAAUCUACCCGUCUCUACGGGAUAGCUACGGGAAACUGGAAUUAAUACCGUAUACGUCCUGAGGGAGAAAGAUUUAUCGUGGAAGGAUGAGCCAGCGUUGGAUUAGCUAGUUCGUGACGUAAAGGCCUACUCAGGCGACGAUGCAUAGCUGGUCUAAGAGGAUGAUCAGCCACAGUGGGACGACGCAACGGCCCAACCUCCUACAGGAGGGAGAAGUGGCGAAUGUUCGAAAGUGUGCGGAAGGAUGAACCUCCCAUGCUGCGUGAGUGAUGAAGGUCCGAGGUUUAUAAAUCUCUUUAAGUGGGCACGAUAAUAACGGUACCCACACAAGAAGCCCCGGCUAACUUCGUG
Molecule: ribosomal RNA, 433 nt
Filed under: uncultured bacterium
Lineage: Bacteria
Description: partial 16S ribosomal RNA
Rfam family: Bacterial small subunit ribosomal RNA
Source: RNAcentral